GGGCAUUAUUUCAGCAUUACUUUGUUAGGGAGGCAGUGGGGGCCCUUGGGAGGAAACCCCAUGGUCCUUCCGCUUGGGGCAACCAGCUCAGGAGGAAGUACCAUGUGCUGGUUCCCAACUCAGCGGGAGAGUCAACAGUGUGUUCUCGUGGGCCAGCCAGGCAUCAGGGAUCCUGCUCCCUGGAAGCCUCUCUGUGAGCUCCCUGCCCCGUGGCUGCAAGCAUAUCCGAGGCUAAGGCGGGCCUUCCAGGAGGCUCACACUCAGCCAGGCUUCUCUGUGGAGAUGCGGAAAUUGAGACUCAAAGAGGUUGAGCAGCAAUUCCGUGAGCUGAAACUUAAGCCCAGAUGCAUGUGAUUCCAGAGGCAGGAUCGGCUGUGGGCUGGGCUGCUUCCUAAGUUUUCAUCAGCUCUGCCCUCACUCUCGGCUCUUUUUUCCAGGCCCAGGCCCACUCGCCUCCUGUGAGUAUCAGGGAAGUCCAGUGCUGUCUGCUGCUGGCCUGUGAUGGAUGAAUUGGCCCUCUUGGACUUGGUCCAGUGCUUUCAAACUCGACUUUGUCCCUCCAUCCAUAUGUUCAGGCUUUUUUCCCUCCUCCCCACAGCCUGGGCAUGGCAGGUGAAGGAGCCUCCUCCUCUACUUUCUCUGCUUCUCAAAUGUUCUAAGACUUGGGAGAAGCCCAAAGACCUCCAGGCUCUUCACUCAUUCAUUCAACAGAUACCUUCUGAGCAUCUGGUAUGUUCUGGAUUUUGUCGUAGGGGUUGUGAACACAGCAGGCCAGGUUGUUGUCCGCAUGGAGGUUAUCAUGAACAAAUGCAUCAACGAGAAGAUUGUAGGGAAUGGCAUGAGCUUUGAUGUUACUAAAACAAGUUGGUGUCAUUGGAAGUGACUGGGGGAUGCGAGAGGGGCUGUUUUGCUAGCAUGUAGGGAAAUCCACUCCAUAGAGGGGAUGUUCGAACCGAGAUUUAAAUGAAAAGAAGCCACUCAGAGGAAGAUCUAGAAGAAGAAUAUUCCACACCAAGAGAGCGACAAGUGCAAAGUUCUCAAGGUUGGAAUGGACUUUACCAACUCAAGGAAGAGAAACGAGGCUGGAGCUUGGAGAGCAGGGGCAGAGGUGGGUAGGGAUCAGAUCCUGCAGGGGCUUAGAGCCCAUUGUCAGACUUUAGAUUUUACCCUAAGUGCAACUAUAGCUCUUGGAGGCUUGGAUCGGGGAGAAAUGUGAUCUGGUUUACACGGUAAAGGAUCACUCUGCUUUCCAUGUUGAGAACAGGUUAUCGAGAAUUCUGACAGCCACAAAUCCUAACCCACACCAAACUCUCCUCCAGAUGCACCUCACCCUGCUGUACUUCUAGGUCCUUGCGCCUGCAAAACCCUCUGCCAGGUAUGCCUUUCUGCUUACUUUCUAGAACAUUCCUAUUCAUCUUCAGGACCCAGCCCCCAGGCACUUUCCUGAUGGGCCCUCCCCCUCGCCCACAGUAAGGGUUAAGUUCAUGUUCUCAUUGCCAUUACCCAAUUCCAGCCAUAAGCAGACUCAGCCUGUUUCUGGGUCCCUCCCCCGACUGGACCAGGAGCUCCUCAGACAUCAGGAUUGCAGUUGACUUGGCUGUGAGAGCCCAGGACCUGCACACAGCCGGGCCCAGCCUGGGUGCCUGCCAGCUAAACAAAUGCUUUCUGGGUGGACACGAACUCAUUGAGUGCCCAAGUCAUUAACAGAAGCACGAGGUUAGCAAGCACCCUCUGUUUAAACAAAUAAUAAGAUUAGAAGUAUGGUAACAUACUACUUACCACAGCAUUUAAUUUGAAUCCAUACUUACUAGAAAUCGUGGCAUCUGGACACUGAGUUUCCAAGUGUUUACUAAAAGCGGCAAUAGCCUGUGAUCGUCAAAAUUUGAAUAGUUCUUUCUCAAGGACUGUUCCCUUGCUACCUUGAGACUAGGAAUGUCUG
This 1939-nucleotide long non-coding RNA is filed under the name Homo sapiens (human). Its description in RNAcentral is "non-protein coding lnc-UTP11-3:1". Lineage: Eukaryota; Metazoa; Chordata; Mammalia; Primates; Hominidae. The record is from RNAcentral.